GAUGAACGCUGGCGGCGUGCCUAAUACAUGCAAGUCGAGCGAACGGACGAGAAGCUUGCUUCUCUGAUGUUAGCGGCGGACGGGUGAGUAAUACGUGGAUAACCUACCUAUAAGAAUGGGAUAACUUCGGGAAACCGGAGCUAAUACCGGAUAAUAUUUUGAACCGCAUGGUUCAAAAGUGAAAGACGGUCUUGCUGUCACUUAUAGAUGGAUCCGCGCUGCAUUAGCUAGUUGGUAGGGUAACGGCUUACCAAGGCAACGAUGCAUAGCCGACCUGAGAGGAUGAUCGGCCACACUGGAACUGAGACACGGUCCAGACUCCUACGGGAGGCAGCAGUAGGGAAUCUUCCGCAAUGGGCGAAAGCCUGACGGAGCAACGCCGCGUGAGUGAUGAAGGUCUUCGGAUCGUAAAGCUCUGUUAUUAGGGAAGAACAUAUGUGUAAGUAACUGUUCACAUCUUGACGGUACCUAAUCAGAAAGCCACGGCUAACUACGUG
This 497-nucleotide ribosomal RNA is filed under the name uncultured bacterium. RNAcentral describes it as "partial 16S ribosomal RNA". It matches the Rfam family "Bacterial small subunit ribosomal RNA", at positions 28 to 507 of the family's 1533-position model. The record is from RNAcentral.